AGGCCUGUAGCUCAGGUGGUUAGAGCGCACCCCUGAUAAGGGUGAGGUCGGUGGUUCAAGUCCACUCAGGCCUACCA
This 77-nucleotide transfer RNA is filed under the name Escherichia coli. Its description in RNAcentral is "tRNA-Ile". It matches the Rfam family "tRNA". Rfam says of the family: Transfer RNA (tRNA) molecules are approximately 80 nucleotides in length. Their secondary structure includes four short double-helical elements and three loops (D, anti-codon, and T loops). RNAcentral also lists the same sequence under 3 other names. The record is from RNAcentral. Lineage: Bacteria; Pseudomonadati; Pseudomonadota; Gammaproteobacteria; Enterobacterales; Enterobacteriaceae.